RNAcentral lists this ribosomal RNA (445 nucleotides) under uncultured Desulfotomaculum sp. RNAcentral's name for it is "bacterial SSU rRNA". It matches the Rfam family "Bacterial small subunit ribosomal RNA", at positions 941 to 1382 of the family's 1533-position model. The record is from RNAcentral. Lineage: Bacteria; Bacillati; Bacillota; Clostridia; Eubacteriales; Desulfotomaculaceae.
GUGGUUUAAUUCGACGCAACGCGAAGAACCUUACCAGGGCUUGACAUCCCCUGACCGUCUAUGAAAGUAGGCUUUCUACUUCGGGUAGACAGGGAGACAGGUGGUGCAUGGUUGUCGUCAGCUCGUGUCGUGAGAUGUUGGGUUAAGUCCCGCAACGAGCGCAACCCUUACGGUUAGUUGCCAGCGGGUUAUGCCGGGCACUCUAGCUGAACUGCCGUUGACAAACGGAGGAAGUGGGGAUGACGUCAAAUCAUCAUGCCCUUUAUGUCCUGGGCUACACACGUGCUACAAUGGCCUGUACAGAGGGAAGCGAAAGGGUGACCUGGAGCGAAUCCCAAAAAGCAGGUCUCAGUUCGGAUUGCAGGCUGCAACCCGCCUGCAUGAAGUCGGAAUCGCUAGUAAUCGCAGGUCAGCAUACUGUGGUGAAUACCGGUUCCCGGGCCUU